Molecule: ribosomal RNA, 481 nt
Filed under: uncultured bacterium
Lineage: Bacteria
Description: bacterial SSU rRNA
Rfam family: Bacterial small subunit ribosomal RNA
Source: RNAcentral
GAUGAACGCUAGCGGCAGGCUUAACACAUGCAAGUCGAGGGGUAUUGGUUUUCGGACCAAGAGACCGGCGCACGGGUGCGUAACGCGUAUGCAACCUACCUUUACAGAGGGAUAGCCCAGAGAAAUUUGGAUUAAUACCUCAUGGUAUAUAUCAUUCGCAUGUUUGAUAUAUUAAAGUUCCAACGGUAAAAGAUGGGCAUGCGUCCUAUUAGCUAGAUGGUGAGGUAACGGCUCACCAUGGCGACGAUGGUAGGGGGCCUGAGAGGGUGGUCCCCCACACUGGUACUGAGACACGGUCCAGACUCCUACGGGAGGCAGCAGUGGGGAAUUUUGGACAAUGGGCGAAAGCCUGAUCCAGCAAUGCCGCGUGCAGGAUGAAGGCCUUCGGGUUGUAAACUGCUUUUGUACGGAACGAAACGGUGAGCUCUAAUAAAGUUUGCUAAUGACGGUACCGUAAGAAUAAGCACCGGCUAACUACGUG